Molecule: ribosomal RNA, 588 nt
Filed under: Crustoderma sp. KUC8001
Lineage: Eukaryota; Fungi; Basidiomycota; Agaricomycetes; Polyporales
Description: LSU rRNA
Rfam family: Eukaryotic large subunit ribosomal RNA
Source: RNAcentral
UAACAAGGAUUCCCCUAGUAACUGCGAGUGAAGCGGGAAAAGCCCAAAUUUAAAAUCUGGCAGUCUCUGGCUGUCCGAGUUGUAAUCUGGAGAAGUGUUGCCCGCGUUGAACCGUGUACAAGUCCCUUGGAAGAGGGCAUCUCAGAGGGUGAAAAUCCCGUCUAUGACACGGACUCUCAAUGCUUUGUGGUGCACUCUCGAUGAGUCGAGUUGUUUGGGAAUGCAGCUCUAAAUGGGUGGUAAACUCCAUCUAAGGCUAAAUAUAGGCGAGAGACCGAUAGCGAACAAGUACCGUGAGGGAAAGAUGAAAAGAACUUUGGAAAGAGAGUUAAACAGUACGUGAAAUUGCUGAAAGGGAAACGCUUGAAGUCAGUCGCGUUGUCCGGGAUUCAGCCUCGCCUCGGCGUGGUUUACUUCCCGGUUAACGGGUCAGCAUCGAUUUUGGCCGCCGGAAAAGGGCGGAGGGAAUGUGGCACCUUCCGGUGUGUUAUAGCCCUCUGUCAGAUUACGGUGGCUGGGAUCGAGGAUCGCAGUGCAACCCUUCGGGGUGGCGGGUUCGCCCAGUUAAUGCACUUAGGAUGCUGGCAU